Molecule: non-coding RNA, 69 nt
Organism: Podarcis lilfordi (Lilford's wall lizard)
Lineage: Eukaryota; Metazoa; Chordata; Lepidosauria; Squamata; Lacertidae
Source: the annotation of a GenBank genome assembly
GCUGUAGCUUGGUGGUCCAGUGCUUGCUUUGUAUGCAGAAGGUCCCAGGUUCAAACUCCGGCAUCUCCA